GACGAACGCUGGCGGCGUGCUUAACACAUGCAAGUCGAACGGAAAGGCCCUGCUUUUGUGGGGUGCUCGAGUGGCGAACGGGUGAGUAACACGUGAGUAACCUCCCCUUGACUUUGGGAUAACUUCAGGAAACUGGGGCUAAUACCGGAUAGGAGCUCCUGCUGCACGGUGGGGGUUGGAAAGUUUCGGCGGUUUGGGAUGGACGCGCGGCUUAUCAGCUUGUUGGUGGGGUAGUGGCUUACCAAGGCUUUGACGGGUAGCCGGCCUGAGAGGGUGACCGGCCACAUUGGGACUGAGAUACGGCCCAGACUCCUACGGGAGGCAGCAGUGGGGAAUAUUGCACAAUGGGCGGAAGCCUGAUGCAGCAACGCCGCGUGCGGGAUGACGGCCUUCGGGUUGUAAACCGCUUUCGCCUGUGACGAAGCGUGAGUGACGGUAAUGGGUAAAGAAGCACCGGCUAACUACGUG
RNAcentral lists this ribosomal RNA (468 nucleotides) under uncultured bacterium. RNAcentral describes it as "partial 16S ribosomal RNA". It matches the Rfam family "Bacterial small subunit ribosomal RNA", at positions 28 to 507 of the family's 1533-position model. The record is from RNAcentral.